Molecule: unclassified non-coding RNA, 1647 nt
Filed under: Leguminivora glycinivorella
Lineage: Eukaryota; Metazoa; Arthropoda; Insecta; Lepidoptera; Tortricidae
Description: zonadhesin-like, transcript variant X3
Source: RNAcentral
GUAUUGUUAGUGAUGGCGUGUUUAUAAAAGAGUGGAGGACCAUAAGUGCAGUUAUUGCGGCCUGAUAAUGUGGAGGGCACUGUUUUUGGUGGUCUGCGCAGCUAAUAUUCAUGUGGCAAUCUCUGCUGAAUGCGGUCUAAACGAGCGAUUCAUAGCAUGCCCAGAUACUAUGUGCAUCCCACAAUACUGUUCUGAGCGAGGCACGAAGGUACCCUGCCCAAUAUUGGGUCCCGAUGGCGAAUGUCCCGGCAAGCCUAGGUGCAUCUGCAUUGAAGGUUACUUGCGAGACGAUACUAGUGCCAAUGCUAAUGGCACUUGUAUAAAGGAGAAAACAUGCAAGCCACCGUCUACAGCAACGUCUUUAGACGAGAAAACGACCGGGGAGAGACACAGUUGUGGUUGUGGUUACCCACCAAUAUGUCCAAAAGGCGAAGAGUACUACAACUGCACAGGCGGCUGCAUACCGAGAAAAUGCUCCGAGCUCGGGUUCCCCUUGGACUGCAGCAAGUGCACGCCGGGAUGCGUUUGUAAAGAUGGCCUUGUUCGGGCUGAUAAUGGCAGCUGCAUCCCGGUUAAUAAGUGUCCAUCAUGUGGUGGCGAUAAAAAUGCCCAACAAGGAUGCGGCAGUAACUGCAACAAGAUGUGUGCCGACAUCGGCAAGCCACCGAAGCGUUGCCCGCUGGGGUGUAUUUUCAACGGCUGCACCUGCAGGCCAUGCUAUUACUACGACCCUAAUGAAAAGAAAUGCGUGAAACCGGAGGACUGCACGCCAACCUGUUCAGCAAACGAAGAGUAUUCUACUUGUAUCCAAAGCGGCUGUACUGCCAAAAACUGCAGCCAGCUCGGGAAACCGGUGCCCUGUAUCAAAAUAGACCCGAAGUACUGUAUCAAGGGGUGCGUCUGCAAAAAGGGGAUGUUGAGAAACUCGAAAGGAAUUUGUGUGCCUGAAAACCAAUGCGACAACUACCCACCAAAAUGUCCCAAAGGCGAAGAGUACAACAACUGCACAGGGGGCUGUACGCUGAGGAAAUGUUCCGAGUUAGGUUUCCCGUUGGACUGUGACAAGUGCACGCCGGGAUGCGUCUGUAAAGAUGGUCUUGUACGUGCUAGUAAUGGCAGUUGCAUCCCUGCUAAUGAGUGCCCAUCAUGUGGUGGCGAUAAAAACGCCCAACAAGGUUGUGGCAACUGCAACAAGCUAUGUUCAGACGUCGGCAAGCCGCCGAGACCUUGCCCGAAAAGAUUGUGCGUGUUCAAUGGCUGCACUUGUAAGCCUGGUUAUUAUUACGAUCCUGACAAAAAGAAGUGCGUCAAACCGGAGCAUUGUCCUGACAACCCACCAGAAUGUCCCAAAGGCGAAGAGUACAACAACUGCACAGGGGGCUGUACGCUGAGAAAUGCUCCGAGUUAGGUUUCCCGUUGGACUGUGACAAGUGCACGCCAGGAUGCGUCUGUAAAGAUGGUCUUGUACGUGCUAGUAAUGGCAGUUGCAUCCCUGCAAAUGAGUGCCCAUCAUGCGGUGGCGAUAAGAACGCUCAACAAGGUUGUGGCAACUGCAACAAGAUGUGUUCUGACAUAGGCAAGCCGCCGGGACCGUGUCCUCUAAGGCCAUGCAGAAUCAACGACUGCACUUGCAAGCCUGGCUUUUAU